UACGUAGGGCGCAAGCGUUGUCCGGAAUUAUUGGGCGUAAAGAGCUCGUAGGCGGCUUGUCACGUCGGUUGUGAAAGCCCGGGGCUUAACCCCGGGUCUGCAGUCGAUACGGGCAGGCUAGAGUUCGGUAGGGGAGAUCGGAAUUCCUGGUGUAGCGGUGAAAUGCGUAGAGAUCAGGAGGAACACCUGUGGUGUAGACAGCUUACUGGACGGUGACUGACGCUGAGGCACGAAAGCGUGGGUAGCAAACAGG
This 253-nucleotide ribosomal RNA is filed under the name uncultured bacterium. Its description in RNAcentral is "partial 16S ribosomal RNA". It matches the Rfam family "Bacterial small subunit ribosomal RNA", at positions 524 to 776 of the family's 1533-position model. The record is from RNAcentral.